This is a long non-coding RNA of Nomascus leucogenys (northern white-cheeked gibbon), 1503 nucleotides long. RefSeq lists it as uncharacterized. NCBI's taxonomy places the organism in Eukaryota, Metazoa, Chordata, Mammalia, Primates, Hylobatidae. The transcript has 3 exons. The record is from RefSeq and is a predicted model, not a curated record.
GUGCUAAUCUGCGUCAGCUGGGGUUGUAUUUGGAAGAGGCGCUGCCUCCAGUCAAGUCUGUUUUUUUUAGGUGGGGACUGUAGGCCUUUGUGCCCUGCUGGAAAUCGUGAAAAGCAAGAGAGAAGAGUCCCAGUUAUUCUUUCUGCCUUUGAUAAGUGAAUUUAGGGCAACUACUAGUGCCAGUAGGCAUGGGGGAUCUACCGAUGAAGAAGACACAAACUCUCCACUCUCAUGGAGUUUACAGAGAAUAAUGAAUGAGAUUAAUUAAGAAAUGAAUCAGAUUAAUUGAAUGAAAUUGCCAGACUGAAUGAAGUGAAUGGCCCGAAUAUAAACAAUUUCCAAAUACAGAUAACACUGCAUAUCUGGUGUUGGCAAUACUCCCUUCACGCUUGAGGAAGAAGUGUGACCCUUUGUCUGUUGGGGUACCUUUCAUUUCGCACUUUCUCCUCUGCUGCUCUCCAGAGGAAGUUAAUGUCCCAAAGUUGUGUGUCAUGCCUGAAGUGUCUGGGGUCCCUGAGUGCCUGUGGUGCCCAAGAGCUAUGAAUCUGCUAUCAUCCACACAGAGGGUACCUUCUGCAUGGGCUAUCUCUGCAGCGAUGCUGCAAGUGGAAGCUAACCCUAGGAUGACUGGCCUCUGACACUUGAGCCAUCCUAUCAUCUGUCGUGGGUUGACCCAUCCAACCCCUCAAUGAGCUGACCUUGAGGACCACUGACAGAGGAGCAGUCAACAGAAAUUAAUUGUUAAAUACCCAGAAAAUCGCAAAUGGUAUUUAAUAUGCAGUUCAUCAAAAGCAAAAGUUCCUUAAAUUUUCAUCUAGAAAAGUUAUUUAUAAGGGAUAAAUGUAUAAAUAUGUUGUAUGCAAAUAUUAUAUUCAAGGGCAAGACCAUGAAAACAGUUUAAGAAUCCAACAACAGGGAAUUGGAUAAAGACAUCAGAGUGCACUUGUCAAAAUACAGCUAUCAAGAAUGAUGAUGUUGAACAAUAGUUUAGCAAUAUAAUUGUCUAGAACCACAGGGAGUCUGAGAUUUUACCCAACUUGUAAGUUAACAACUCUGCCAUAGCUUCAUGAAAGAAGACACAAGACCCCUGGGUCAGGAACAAAGGUCUCUAAUACCGCAAUAUCAGGAGCCAGAAUUUCAGGACCUUUAUUCCUGACAGUUUCUCAAGUCCUAAUUACCACAGAGUUACAGGAAAAGGCCAGGUAACACUAGCACUGCCAUCAGUGGCUGUAUUACAGAACAGGAACUCCAAGCUUAGGAAACCCAAAUCUUUUAUAGUUAACAAUUAAACACAUCUGCCAUUGUUCCGAAGGGAGACGCUUCAGAACACACCUGUUUACUAUAUAAAUAUCUGUGAAAAGAUAGACAGGAAAAUAGGUGGAGAAUGCCUCUGCUCACAAGAUGUGCAGAAACGUGAGAGGCUCACGGAGAACUGUUUCCCUACAAUGACAAAACGCUGACAAUACAUUGUUAUGUAAAAUAAAGCAGGCAUUUUUCACCUCA